AGCUGCUCUUGCAACCUUGACACAUCUUGUUCAAGCGCCAACCGUCGCUCAUGCAAAGCUUGCUUCCUUCUCUCUAAGCUAGCUUGUAAAAUUGCAUUCCCUCGGGCCUCCUUCGCAAUCCUGUGUUUCAAGUCAUUUUUUGUGAUCUCAAGCCUCUGAAUAGCAAGCUCUUCUUCUCCAGAAGAAUCAACUGAUUCCACAGACGGUGUCUUUUUGGCAUUACUUCUUCCCCAGAAUGUUGACCGCUUUCCAUUGAGAUUGGAGGUUGCAACUUUACCAGCUGGUUUCUCAGCAGAUGAAUCAGGCCCAGAUAUGGGUAAAGAAGGAACAGGAACCAUUGAAGAUAGAAUUUCCCCCAUUGAUCGAUAAGAGUCACCAACAGGUGACACAUUUGAAACAUCCAUCUCUUUAAUUGAAUUAUCAUUUCCUUUCUUCGGUUUACUUGGUUGUUCUGCAAGUUGAACAUUAGGAUCUCUACUUUGGACAGGUAAGUUUGAACUGUCAGCUGGAGCAUGAUUAUUUCUUGGUGAUCCAACAUCUGAAUCAUCACCACCAAAAGCCUUAUAGUCAUAGAGAUCACUGCCAGCGUAACCACUGCUCUCACUUAAUUUUCCACUGAGCACACGUUGACCAUCAUCAUCAGUUUCUUGAUCAACUUCAUUUUCCGCAUCAUGAUAACCAUUUUCUUUCAAAUCCACAUUUUCAUCAUCAGUUGAAUCUUCACUCCCACUGUUUUCAAUCUGAGAAUCAGCAGAUAUAGAGCAUCUGUGUAGAUUUUCAUCAUCAAAAAUAUUGUCAUACUCCUCUAAAAGAGUUGUAAUGAUGGCUUGAGCAUUAUUAGCAGCAUUUGCAGCAGCAAGAAGCUGAGCAGAACUAUCACCAUUAAUAUCAAAGUCAUCCUCCAACUCACAUUCACC
RNAcentral lists this unclassified non-coding RNA (917 nucleotides) under Hevea brasiliensis (rubber tree). The record is from RNAcentral. Lineage: Eukaryota; Viridiplantae; Streptophyta; Magnoliopsida; Malpighiales; Euphorbiaceae.